UACAGAGGGUGCAAGCGUUAAUCGGAUUUACUGGGCGUAAAGCGUGUGUAGGUGGCUACCUAAGUCGAUUGUGAAAUCCCUGGGCUCAACCUGGGAAUUGCAGUCGAUACUGGGCAGCUCGAGUUCGGUAGAGGGUGACGGAAUUCCCGGUGUAGCGGUGAAAUGCGUAGAUAUCAGGAAGAACACCCGUGGCUAAGGCGGCUCUCUAGUACGUGACUGACGCUGAGACGCGAAAGCGUGGGGAGCGAACAGG
Molecule: ribosomal RNA, 253 nt
Filed under: uncultured bacterium
Lineage: Bacteria
Description: partial 16S ribosomal RNA
Rfam family: Bacterial small subunit ribosomal RNA
Source: RNAcentral